GACGAACGCUGGCGGCGUGCUUAAUACAUGCAAGUCGAGCGAAUGGAUUAAGAGCUUGCUCUUAUGAAGUUAGCGGCGGACGGGUGAGUAACACGUGGGUAACCUGCCCAUAAGACUGGGAUAACUCCGGGAAACCGGGGCUAAUACCGGAUAACAUUUUGAACCGCAUGGUUCGAAAUUGAAAGGCGGCUUCGGCUGUCACUUAUGGAUGGACCCGCGUCGCAUUGGCUAGUUGGUGAGGUAACGGCUCACCAAGGCAACGAUGCGUAGCCGACCUGAGAGGGUGAUCGGCCACACUGGGACUGAGACACGGCCCAGACUCCUACGGGAGGCAGCAGUAGGGAAUCUUCCGCAAUGGACGAAAGUCUGACGGAGCAACGCCGCGUGAGUGAUGAAGGCUUUCGGGUCGUAAAACUCUGUUGUUAGGGAAGAACAAGUGCUAGUUGAAUAAGCUGGCACCUUGACGGUACCUAACCAGAAAGCCACGGCUAACUACGUGCCAGCCGCCGCAGUAA
This 515-nucleotide ribosomal RNA is filed under the name uncultured bacterium. RNAcentral describes it as "partial 16S ribosomal RNA". It matches the Rfam family "Bacterial small subunit ribosomal RNA", at positions 28 to 523 of the family's 1533-position model. The record is from RNAcentral.